RNAcentral lists this ribosomal RNA (253 nucleotides) under uncultured bacterium. Its description in RNAcentral is "partial 16S ribosomal RNA". It matches the Rfam family "Bacterial small subunit ribosomal RNA", at positions 524 to 776 of the family's 1533-position model. The record is from RNAcentral.
UACGGAGGGGGCUAGCGUUGUUCGGAAUUACUGGGCGUAAAGCGCACGUAGGCGGCUUUGUAAGUUAGAGGUGAAAGCCCGGGGCUCAACUCCGGAACUGCCUUUAAGACUGCAUCGCUUGAAUCAUGGAGAGGUUAGUGGAAUUCCGAGUGUAGAGGUGAAAUUCGUAGAUAUUCGGAAGAACACCAGUGGCGAAGGCGACUAACUGGACAUGUAUUGACGCUGAUGCGCGAAAGCCAGGGGAGCAAACGGG